Long non-coding RNA from Poecilia latipinna (sailfin molly), 945 nucleotides. RefSeq lists it as uncharacterized. Lineage: Eukaryota; Metazoa; Chordata; Actinopteri; Cyprinodontiformes; Poeciliidae. The record is from RefSeq and is a predicted model, not a curated record. The transcript is spliced from 4 exons.
UCAUCUCUGAUUCCUGGAACCAAAUACACUUUCACUCUCUUCUCUGUGUUUGAGAGCAUCAGAAGCAGUGGAGUACAGCUUGUAGCUUUCCUUGAACCAACCUAUAUUAUUAGAAUGAAACUUCAAUUAAAUUAUCAGACACAACUAUCAGAUUCAGAGAUGGAAGAUGUUUUAGUGGAGUUCUUCAAAGCACAUGGUUUAUCACAGUUUUCCCUGAAAGUUCGCAUCAAACCGUGAAGAAAUCCAAGGAUGAAAUCGAGGAUCAUGGAUUAAUGAAAGUGUAUUUACGUUCAUUAAAGAAAUUAAGAAAUUCCAUUUCUUAAUUAAUAUUCUAUCAUGCAUCAUCACCUUUUGUCUAACCAAUGGUUAAGAUGGUUUUAUCUUUGUUAGUUUCUUUUUUUACCAGACUUGAAUCGAUUAGGAUUUGAGGAAAAUUGUUAGACACAAAAUGGCAAAUUUAGAUCAUGAAGUGAAAAAUUGCAGUCAAAAGAAAUUAAACUAUAUUCACUUUUUAUGAAAUUCAGCUUAGUUAUUUUAUUAAAUGCUUUUAGGUAAGAUAAUUUUAUUUAUUCCUUUCUGAUAUUAUUUCUCCUGCAUAUACAUUCUUUGAUUCUUCCUCUAUAGUUCACCAGAUUUGCUAAUAUUCUUGCUCUCUGUUGGUCUUCAUACUUGACAGACUCUACCUUUCCAUUGUAUUUAGUUUUGCAAUUAAAUAUUAGUUUUGAAUUUUCCUUUUUUGCCUACAUGUCAUCUGGUGAACCUUCAAUAGCAAGAAACAAUGAAAGAGAAGUCAUAGGUAGGAAGGACCCAUGACAGUGUGUGAGUAAUUAAUAAAAAAAUAAAGAAAUUCACAGAAAACACAAAAGCAGAACCACAAGGAUCAUGAGUUACUACAUUAUUUUUCUCAGAUUAUUAUUUUUCUUUUCUUUUUUUUUAACUGAAGUC